Molecule: ribosomal RNA, 468 nt
Filed under: uncultured bacterium
Lineage: Bacteria
Description: partial 16S ribosomal RNA
Rfam family: Bacterial small subunit ribosomal RNA
Source: RNAcentral
GACGAACGCUGGCGGCGUGCUUAACACAUGCAAGUCGAACGGAAAGGCCCUGCUUUUGGGGGGUGCUCGAGUGGCGAACGGGUGAGUAACACGUGAGUAACCUGCCCUUGACUUUGGGAUAACUUCAGGAAACUGGGGCUAAUAACGGAUAGGAGCUCCUGCUGCAUGGUGGGGGGUGGAAAGUUUCGGCGGUUGGGGAUGGACUCGCGGCUUAUCAGCUUGUUGGUGGGGUAGUGGCUUACCAAGGCUUUGACGGGUAGCCGGCCUGAGAGGGUGACCGGCCACAUUGGGACUGAGAUACGGCCCAGACUCCUACGGGAGGCAGCAGUGGGGAAUAUUGCACAAUGGGCGGAAGCCUGAUGCAGCAACGCCGCGUGCGCGAUGACGGCCUUCGGGUUGUAAACCGCUUUCGCCUGUGACGAAGCGUGAGUGACGGUAAUGGGUAAAGAAGCACCGGCUAACUACGUG